Molecule: ribosomal RNA, 247 nt
Filed under: uncultured bacterium
Lineage: Bacteria
Description: partial 16S ribosomal RNA
Rfam family: Bacterial small subunit ribosomal RNA
Source: RNAcentral
GAGUUUGAUCGUGGCUCAGGAUGAACGCUGGCGGCGUGCUUAACACAUGCAAGUCGAACGAAGCACUUUGAUCGAUUUCUUCGGAUUGAAAUUUUAGUGACUGAGUGGCGGACGGGUGAGUAACGCGUGGGUAACCUGCCUCACACAGGGGGAUAACAGUUGGAAACGGCUGCUAAUACCGCAUAAGCGUACAGUACCGCAUGGUACAGUGUGAAAAAACUCCGGUGGUGUGAGAUGGACCCCGCGU